Long non-coding RNA from Hypanus sabinus (Atlantic stingray), 2311 nucleotides. RefSeq lists it as uncharacterized. The transcript is spliced from 3 exons. Lineage: Eukaryota; Metazoa; Chordata; Chondrichthyes; Myliobatiformes; Dasyatidae. The record is from RefSeq and is a predicted model, not a curated record.
AAAUGUGUUUAAGCUGGAAAGAAUGCCAAAAAGAUUUAUGAAGAUGUUGCCAGGACUGCAGGGCCUGAGAGGUUGGCCUGGCUGGCUCUUUAUUUCUCAGAGUGUCAGAGAACGAGGUGUAAUUUUUGAUAUUGUGAGAGUUGUAGACAGGGUGAAUUCUGCCAUGGGCGGUCCCAAGCCUGGCUGAGAAAGUGGGGGAGGGCUGGGCACAAGGCUAGCAACUCCAUUCCUGUAAAAAAAAACCCAGAGCUGCAGAAGUGCCAAAUGAAGUUCUGAGACCCUCAUCCCUGGGAGGGGAAGAGUAGAAGAUGUACAACUAAAAAGACUUGAAAGACCAGCCCAGGACAGAGGAUUCUGAUGAGCUGCUGUCGGUGGCCUGGGCCCCAGUAGAGGCAUCUCCUUCCCGCCACCCACCACUCUCUGUGCGUUUGGAGAAUUUUGUGAUGAAAAGGAUAAAUUGGCCUUUAAUGGCCUCUCAAAGCAGGGCGAACUGGCCUCUGAAGUGGAAAGAACAACAGAACCUUAAAAGGAAGAGGGAGUGGAUAUCUGGCGGAGGACAUGAGGAGCCUGCUGCACGGACAUCUAGAUACAGCAGAGAACAGGCACUUCUGCCCUUUGAGCUGCGCACCAGCGACCCACCAGCUCAACCCUAGUCUAAUCACAGGACAACUUGCAAUGAGCAUUUACCCUACUAAAUGGUGCAUUUUGGACCGUGGGGGGAAACCCGAACACCCAGGACAAGCCCACACAUUUGUCACUUUCUUCUCCACUAGGUGUCACAAACUCAAUACCAACACUGAGAAAAUUGUAUUUUCCAUUACUCGGUUCUCUUUAAAAACCAAAGUGUUUGUGUGAGCAUCCUUCCUUUUAUUACAAGUGUACAAUGUACUGUCUAUGUUAAUCAAAAUGGCUUCUUUGGUUUGCUAGAGUAGGAAUGCUUUUAUGUUUGAUAAAUGUUUUCUCUCACAGUUGUUUAGCUUUGGACUUGCUGAUAUGGGGGGAUUGUAUUCAUUUUUUAACCAAUGGGGAAUGUUAUUUUGUUGUCUUGUGAGGCUGGGAAAUUGGGGGUUUCGCGGUCUUUUCAGGGAAGGCAGGAAAGAGACACCAAGGAAGGUGGACAUGUGCUGCACUGCUCGGUCGACCACUGGGGUGGUCCCAGGUGCGAGGACGUGGAGGUCAGAGGGAAGUGACGAGGGGUCGAAUGGUUCGAUGGUUGAGCUCCAACGAUGUGCACUAAACUGACUGAACUUUAAUAAGCUGACGCCUUUUACUUUAUUUUCUUUUAGUUCAUAUAUAUUGUAUAAUAUAAUUCUCUUUUAGUUUUAGUAAAAUCUUUAAAGUGUAUUCCAUAUCGGUAUUUGGUGUGAGUUUGAUAUUGUGUGUGUAACCAUGGCAUAAACUUGAAUCUCACAGUACCUACGUGUACAGGAGGUGGGGUUGGUGAGUUGUUGGAUCUCCUUUUCCCCUAGACAUAUACCAGCCUGUUGGGUAAGUGUUACAUUUGUGGGGGCUCAUCCGGGAUCUCUCUCGGAAUGGGGUCCUACCAGCCCAUCCGGAAUAGAGGCGUGGGCACCCAGUGGUCCCCUGGUCCCGGACGAAGAAUUUAGCUCAGAUGAGAUUAUCACUCCACUUGUCUUCUGAAGAAAUCUUUAUCAAGCAACUUUAUUACUUGCAAGGGGAGAGCCACUUCCACUUCCAUUAGGGAUGGAGGAGACUUGGCACACACUGUUUACAUUCCUUUUAUAUAAGAAUGAGACAGGAUUACUACUUCCAGCGAACUCUGUAGUUUGCCAUCUGCAGUUGUCUCAUCUCUGCUACUUCCUUACUCUUGCACAAUGUUCAGUCCAUUGAGUGCUUGUUGUCCCCUAUUCCCUCAGUAAACACACUUCUUGUAGUCUCAUCUAGAAACUUUAGUCACUCACAUAUAUUGCAACGUAAUAGCUUAGCACCCUGCCUUUUCACCGCUGAUGGGAUUCCUCUGCUACUGGAGGAGGAGCUGUGCGGCGGCUCGGAGGGUAAGCCUCCACAUUCGAGUGGUGUCUCUCUCUUUCGAUGAUGUUGGAGGAUUUUACCAAGGCUCUGCCUUUAUGGUUUGGACUAAUGCAUUUCUGGACAGUGGAUUAUUCCAGUCUUAUGGUUUUUAUACCCUGAGUAUCCGCUCGUAUUUCCUCAUUUUGUUGUAUGGGAGAGGAGGCUUGGGGGCUGAUGUUCUUGUGCUUUGUUAGUUUUUUGGUAUGGGGGGGGUGGAGGUCAAAGUUGUCGUUGUAUUUUGUGUGGAUGGAGGUGGUUAAAGUUUUUGCAUUUGGUCGUC